Molecule: unclassified non-coding RNA, 448 nt
Filed under: Hevea brasiliensis (rubber tree)
Lineage: Eukaryota; Viridiplantae; Streptophyta; Magnoliopsida; Malpighiales; Euphorbiaceae
Source: RNAcentral
UUGCAACAUGAGGUGGGGCAUUUUUUGGUUGGUUACCUGGUCGGGGUCUUACCAAGAAGCUAUGAAGUACCUAGUCUACAAGAUAUAACACAGGACAAAUUUGCUCAAGGAAAUGUGCAGUUUCUUGGCUUUGAAUUUCUGAAAGAAGUUGAUAUUAAUACUAUAUCAAGCAAACGGUUUACCCAUGGCAAGCUAAAAAGCAAGGAAAAUAGGGCCAAAAUCUCAUCCCAGACUUUGAACAGGUUCUUGUGUGUGAUACUAGGAGGGUUAGCAGCAGAGCACCUGUUAUUUGGUUACUCCGAAUUACUUCACUCAGAUGUUCAAAAGUUGGACAGAGUGCUAAGGUGGUUAUGCUACAAUGAGAAUGAAGCCGACUCUCUGGUAAGAUGGGCUAUUCUUACCACUUUGUCACUAUUAAGUCAUCAUCACGAGGCUCGAUCAAGACUAG